UACGAAGGGGACUAGCGUUGUUCGGAUUUACUGGGCGUAAAGCGCGCGUAGGCGGAUCGCUAAGUCAGGGGUGAAAUCCCAAGGCUCAACCUUGGAACUGCCUUUGAUACUGACGAUCUGGAGAUCGGGAGAGGUGAGUGGAAUUCCGAGUGUAGAGGUGAAAUUCGUAGAUAUUCGGAGGAACACCAGAAGCGAAGGCGGCUCACUGGCCCGAUACUGACGCUGAGGCGCGAAAGCGUGGGGAGCAAACAGG
This 253-nucleotide ribosomal RNA is filed under the name uncultured bacterium. Its description in RNAcentral is "partial 16S ribosomal RNA". It matches the Rfam family "Bacterial small subunit ribosomal RNA", at positions 524 to 776 of the family's 1533-position model. The record is from RNAcentral. RNAcentral also lists the same sequence under 1 other name.